Molecule: long non-coding RNA, 399 nt
Organism: Astyanax mexicanus (Mexican tetra)
Lineage: Eukaryota; Metazoa; Chordata; Actinopteri; Characiformes; Acestrorhamphidae
Exons: 2
Source: RefSeq, a predicted model, not a curated record
GGAUGUCGUUGAGGACACUUAGUUUGCGGAGGUCACGGCAGAGCCCCUGGAUUCGCAGUGCUUCUUCCUGACCAACUACUGCCCGCUGCAGGACAUCGAGAGGUGAGCGCCCAUCUGGCAUCGCAUCGUACAGCUGAGACAGAGCCUUCUCCUGCUUAUCUUCAUCAUCACUGGGGUUUACUGCACACACACACAUAUUAAAAGAUAUAUUAGCUACAAACAGUACUUAUUAAAGACCAACCAUUUUAGUAAACCAAAAACACCACUACUGCAGCCAUAAAUAUCAAGACUUGGUUAAUUAUUGAUUAACACUUUACCAGGAAUUAUGACUGUUUGGAGAACUGCUGGUCUUCUGCCAUUUGACCCUAUUCGCCUUUUUGAAUAAAGUGUUUAAUCACC